Molecule: long non-coding RNA, 715 nt
Organism: Phyllostomus hastatus (greater spear-nosed bat)
Lineage: Eukaryota; Metazoa; Chordata; Mammalia; Chiroptera; Phyllostomidae
Exons: 4
Source: RefSeq, a predicted model, not a curated record
GAAGUUAGGAGUCAUCCUUUCAGAGCUGUGUGUGUGUGUGAAUGUGCCCAGAUGGAACACCAUGAGCCAGAAGCACCCCUGUGCAGUAGAUUCUGUGCCUUUUGCAAGCAUCUCCUACAGAUACUGGCUGCUGGAAACACCUUGCAGCCUACUUCAUCAUAUGUGAUUGGUGAAUAAAAGAGGUUACAUGACACCAAAAGCAAAGCUACUAUUUCUUCUUUGACCCUUGAAGAACUGAAAAGAAAGCUCCCUGCUGCCACGUUUCCAGUUCCACAACUCUGCCCAAGCUGCCCCAAGCCUGCGCUUCCAGGACAGCCUUCUCUGAUGUGUGACACCCUACAUGUUGCCUGUAGCAAGCCACACUCCAUGCCACAGUCUGUCUGUCCCUCCCCUUUGAACCAACUUUAGUUUGCCUCUUUCCCACCUUGACAUUUUGACAAACUGACAAUGGCCCAGAAUUUUUCCUAUGCUCCUCUCCUUGAGUUUCUGCCUGCCCCUGUGGAUUCAAAGGACAGGUUUUUACCCUGGCAAAAUGACCCUUUUUUAAGGACAUGUCCUAAGGGAACCUGCAGCAACCUCACCCUGGCUGAGACACACUGGGUACAGAAUAUAACUUCUUGGUAUUUGGCCUCAGGAGUCACUCAUUCAUUACACAGAGUCUUUAUCUUUGUGCAUAUCCUGGAACAAUACUCUUAAAUAAAUACUCUCAGAGGCA